This 254-nucleotide ribosomal RNA is filed under the name uncultured bacterium. RNAcentral's name for it is "partial 16S ribosomal RNA". It matches the Rfam family "Bacterial small subunit ribosomal RNA", at positions 524 to 776 of the family's 1533-position model. The record is from RNAcentral.
UACGUAGGGUGCAAGCGUUUAAUCGGAAUUACUGGGCGUAAAGCGUGCGCAGGUGGUUGUGUAAGCUUGAUGUGAAAUCCCCGGGCUUAACCUGGGAAUGGCAUUGAGGACUGCACGGCUAGAGUGCGUCAGAGGGGGUGGAAUUCCGCGUGUAGCAGUGAAAUGCGUAGAGAUGCGGAGGAACACCGAUGGCCGAAGGCAGCCCCCUGGGAUGACACUGACACUCAUGCACGAAAGCGUGGGGAGCAAACAGG